RNAcentral lists this unclassified non-coding RNA (753 nucleotides) under Hevea brasiliensis (rubber tree). The record is from RNAcentral. Lineage: Eukaryota; Viridiplantae; Streptophyta; Magnoliopsida; Malpighiales; Euphorbiaceae.
UUUCUUCCAUUGUUACAAGUGUGGUAAAGCUGCAGCUUACAUGAAUUUUGCAACUUUUUUCUUUUUAAAUUUUUAUCAUUUGAAUCCAUAUCAUAAGAUGUGACGAAAUUUUUACGCUGGUUAUCACCUACCGCAAUCAUCCUCUUUUAUCUGGAUUUGGGACCGACUAAACUCAAACAACUUAGGCGGAGUUCAUCUCAAGUCUUAAUAGAUAUAAAAAUGUCAGUAAUAAAAUAAGAUGCACAAAAUUGUCUUCCUACAUUCUCUUACAAAUUUUCAAUCUAAUGCUUAGCUGUUGUAUACAUUUGACUUACAAAAGUUGGAAUGGGAAACUUGCACCUUGAGCCCCUUUUGUUAAAAUACUAGCUAGCUGUACUCUUGGUUUCAUUAGUGGUUAACCACCAAAUUAAUCCUGUCUCAAAACCAAUUUCCUUUGACACAAGUUUAACACCACAAUAACUUGCAGACCUAACGCUAGAGCCUAUAUCUGUUGUAUUCUGUUGGCAUUCUUGCAUAUUGCACUGCAGCAUUUUAAAUUUGCAACCUAUAUUUGUGUCUCCUGAUAUUAUUUCUUAAUUUUGGUAGGCAAUUAAAACUGCCUCUCUCCUCAUAGGUAUUUUAAUUUGAGUACUAGUUGGUAACACGCUUGCAUCUUUAAUCUAAAACUGGGGCUUAUGCUCUUUUCAUGUUUGUCCUAACCUUGAGCUGGGGCCUCUCUUUCUUGAAUUCUAGGGUAUAGGGAAUGAUGAUCAU